AGUAGAACCUAUCAAAGACCGUGCAAUAGAAAUUCACUAUCUGGCAUUGUUGAUUUUCUUGGCUUUGGUGCCUAUUAAACCUGGUAUUUCUACUGAUACACAC
RNAcentral lists this small nucleolar RNA (103 nucleotides) under Nannospalax galili (Upper Galilee mountains blind mole rat). RNAcentral's name for it is "Small nucleolar RNA SNORA8 (ENSNGAG00000004601.1)". It matches the Rfam family "Small nucleolar RNA SNORA8", at positions 38 to 139 of the family's 139-position model. From Rfam's summary of the family: ACA8 is a member of the H/ACA class of snoRNA that guide the sites of modification of uridines to pseudouridines. Lineage: Eukaryota; Metazoa; Chordata; Mammalia; Rodentia; Spalacidae. The record is from RNAcentral.